RNAcentral lists this ribosomal RNA (794 nucleotides) under uncultured euryarchaeote. RNAcentral describes it as "bacterial SSU rRNA". It matches the Rfam family "Archaeal small subunit ribosomal RNA", at positions 85 to 882 of the family's 1478-position model. The record is from RNAcentral. Lineage: Archaea; Methanobacteriati; Methanobacteriota.
ACGGCUCAGUAACACGUAGCUAACCUGCCCUUAGGUCAAGGAUACUCUCUGGGAAACUGAGGAUAAUACUUGAUAAAAGAUGUUCUCUGGAACGAAAUAUCUUCGAAAUUCGAGCCUAAGGAUGGGGCUGCGGCUGAUUAGGUUGUUGUUGGGGUAAUUGCCUAACAAGCCAAUGAUCAGUAAGGGCUCUUAGCGGAGAGGCCCUGAGAAGGAAUCUGAGACACUAUUCCUAGCCUUACGGGGUGCAGCAGUCGGGAAACUUUUGCAAUGCGCGCAAGCGUGACAAAGUGAGCCAGAGUGUUUCUCUUUUAAGAGAAACUUUUGUCAGCUGUAAAAAGGCUGACGAAUAAGGACUGGGCAAGACCGGUGCCAGCCGCCGCGGUAAUACCGGCGGUCCAAGUCGCAGCCAUCAUUAUUGGGUCUAAAACAUCCGUAGCUUGUUUUGCAAGUCUCUUGUGAAAUCUUACAUCUUAAGUGUAAGGCGUGCAAGAGAUACUGCAUCACUAGAGACCGGAAGACGUAGCGAGUACAAUUAAAGUAGUGGUAAAAUACGUUAAUCUUAAUUGGACUAACAAUGGCGAAGGCACGCUACGAGGACGGAUCUGACAGUGAGGGAUGAAGGCCAGGGGCGCAAAACGGAUUAGAUACCCGUGUAGUCCUGGCAGUAAACACUGCACACUAAACAUUAGCGCCUCCUCGAGAGGCAUUGGUGCUGUAGGGAAGCCGAAGAGUGUGCUACCUGGGAAGUAUAGCCGCAAGGCCGAAACUUAAAGGAAUUGGCGGGGGAGCACAAU